GACGAACCGGACGAACGUUAUUCGGAAUCAUUGGGCUUAAAGAGUGCGUAGGCGGCCUUGUAGGUGAGGUGUGAAAUCCCACGGCUCAACCGUGGAACUGCGCUUCAAACCACAAGGCUUGAGUGAGGCAGAGGUAAGCGGAACUGAUGGUGGAGCGGUGAAAUGCGUUGAUAUCAUCAGGAACACCGGUGGCGAAGGCUGCUUACUGGGCCUUGUCUGACGCUGAGGCACGAAAGCUAGGGGAGCAAACGGG
Molecule: ribosomal RNA, 253 nt
Filed under: uncultured bacterium
Lineage: Bacteria
Description: partial 16S ribosomal RNA
Rfam family: Bacterial small subunit ribosomal RNA
Source: RNAcentral